Molecule: ribosomal RNA, 135 nt
Filed under: uncultured Bacillota bacterium
Lineage: Bacteria; Bacillati; Bacillota
Description: uncultured Firmicutes bacterium partial 16S ribosomal RNA
Rfam family: Bacterial small subunit ribosomal RNA
Source: RNAcentral
UGGGGGAUAUUGCACAAUGGGGGAAACCCUGAUGCAGCAACGCCGCGUGAAGGAAGAAGGUCUUCGGAUUGUAAACUUUUGUCCUCAGUGAAGAUAAUGACGGUAGCUGAGGAGGAAGCUCCGGCUAACUACGUG